RNAcentral lists this ribosomal RNA (1471 nucleotides) under uncultured bacterium. RNAcentral describes it as "bacterial SSU rRNA". It matches the Rfam family "Bacterial small subunit ribosomal RNA". The record is from RNAcentral.
AGAGUUUGAUCCUGGCUCAUGACGAACGCUGGCGGCGCGCCUAACACAUGCAAGUCGAACGAGAGAUGAAGAGCUUGCUCUUCAAAUCGAGUGGCGAACGGGUGAGUAACGCGUGAGGAACCUGCCUCAAAGAGGGGGACAACAGUUGGAAACGACUGCUAAUACCGCAUAAGCCCACAGCUCGGCAUCGAGCAGAGGGAAAAGGAGUAAUCCGCUUUGAGAUGGCCUCGCGUCCGAUUAGCUAGUUGGUGAGGUAACGGCCCACCAAGGCAACGAUCGGUAGCCGGACUGAGAGGUUGAACGGCCACAUUGGGACUGAGACACGGCCCAGACUCCUACGGGAGGCAGCAGUGGGGAAUAUUGCACAAUGGGGGAAACCCUGAUGCAGCGACGCCGCGUGGAGGAAGAAGGUCUUCGGAUUGUAAACUCCUGUUGUUGAGGAAGAUAAUGACGGUACUCAACAAGGAAGUGACGGCUAACUACGUGCCAGCAGCCGCGGUAAAACGUAGGUCACAAGCGUUGUCCGGAAUUACUGGGUGUAAAGGGAGCGCAGGCGGGAGAACAAGUUGGAAGUGAAAUCCAUGGGCUCAACCCAUGAACUGCUUUCAAAACUGUUUUUCUUGAGUAGUGCAGAGGUAGGCGGAAUUCCCGGUGUAGCGGUGGAAUGCGUAGAUAUCGGGAGGAACACCAGUGGCGAAGGCGGCCUACUGGGCACCAACUGACGCUGAGGCUCGAAAGUGUGGGUAGCAAACAGGAUUAGAUACCUGGUAGUCCACACCGUAAACGAUGAUUACUAGGUGUUGGAGGAUUGACCCCUUCAGUGCCGCAGUUAACACAAUAAGUAAUCCACCUGGGGAGUACGACCGCAAGGUUGAAACUCAAAGGAAUUGACGGGGGCCCGCACAAGCAGUGGAGUAUGUGGUUUAAUUCGACGCAACGCGAAGAACCUUACCAAGUCUUGACAUCCUGCGACGCACAUAGAAAUAUGUGUUUCCUUCGGGACGCAGAGACAGGUGGUGCAUGGUUGUCGUCAGCUCGUGUCGUGAGAUGUUGGGUUAAGUCCCGCAACGAGCGCAACCCUUAUGGUCAGUUACUACGCAAGAGGACUCUGGCCAGACUGCCGUUGACAAAACGGAGGAAGGUGGGGAUGACGUCAAAUCAUCAUGCCCUUUAUGACUUGGGCUACACACGUACUACAAUGGCGUUAAACAAAGAGAAGCAAGACCGCGAGGUGGAGCAAAACUCAGAAACAACGUCCCAGUUCGGACUGCAGGCUGCAACUCGCCUGCACGAAGUCGGAAUUGCUAGUAAUCGUGGAUCAGCAUGCCACGGUGAAUACGUUCCCGGGCCUUGUACACACCGCCCGUCACACCAUGAGAGCCGGGGGGACCCGAAGUCGGUAGUCUAACCGCAAGGAGGACGCCGCCGAAGGUAAAACUGGUGAUUGGGGUGAAGUCGUAACAAGGUAGCC